This is a long non-coding RNA of Diprion similis, 352 nucleotides long. RefSeq lists it as uncharacterized. NCBI's taxonomy places the organism in Eukaryota, Metazoa, Arthropoda, Insecta, Hymenoptera, Diprionidae. The record is from RefSeq and is a predicted model, not a curated record. The transcript has 3 exons.
ACUCCGAAUGCUGCUUCCAUUUCCGGUAUGUGCCUGACAAUUAACUUGACGUCAGUUUGAAGAAUACAACACGAGUCGAGUGACUAUAAAGCAGCUCUGUCAAUCAACGUUGGCCGUAAGUAGCAGCCUGUAGUUUCUGCCUCGCAAUCUCGAUAGUGGUGAGAAAGGGCCACGUCUGGGUCGGCCACGAGUUGCUCGAACCCUAAAACGAGCAUCGCGUCGGAAGGUAAAGGUACGAUAAUCCAAUGCGUCAUCUGUACUUACCGCAGCCUGAACGAGAACGAGUAUUGUUAGAGUAAUCAAAAUCCCAGCGACAAUGAUCGUUUUCACUUGCCGUGGGAGUGACGGCCAU